Molecule: microRNA precursor, 59 nt
Filed under: Anolis carolinensis (green anole)
Lineage: Eukaryota; Metazoa; Chordata; Lepidosauria; Squamata; Anolidae
Description: Aca-Mir-219-P3_pre stem-loop
Rfam family: mir-219 microRNA precursor family
About the family: The hairpin precursors (represented here) are predicted based on base pairing and cross-species conservation -- their extents are not known. In this case the mature sequence is excised from the 5' arm of the hairpin.
Source: RNAcentral
UGAUUGUCCAAACGCAAUUCUUGUCUCCGCUCCACCGAGAGUUGAGUCUGGACAUCAGG